AUUGAACGCUGGCGGCAUGCUUUACACAUGCAAGUCGAACGGCAGCGCGGGCUUCGGCCUGGCGGCGAGUGGCGAACGGGUGAGUAAUGCAUCGGAACGUGCCCAGUAGUGGGGGAUAGCCCGGCGAAAGCCGGAUUAAUACCGCAUACGACCUGAGGGUGAAAGCGGGGGACCGAAAGGCCUCGCGCUAUUGGAGCGGCCGAUGUCGGAUUAGCUAGUUGGUGGGGUAAAGGCUUACCAAGGCGACGAUCCGUAGCUGGUCUGAGAGGACGACCAGCCACACUGGGACUGAGACACGGCCCAGACUCCUACGGGAGGCAGCAGUGGGGAAUUUUGGACAAUGGGGGCAACCCUGAUCCAGCCAUGCCGCGUGCGGGAAGAAGGCCUUCGGGUUGUAAACCGCUUUUGUUCGGGAAGAAAUCCUCUGGGCUAAUACCCCGGGGGGAUGACGGUACCGGAAGAAUAAGCACCGGCGAACUACGU
Molecule: ribosomal RNA, 483 nt
Filed under: uncultured bacterium
Lineage: Bacteria
Description: partial 16S ribosomal RNA
Rfam family: Bacterial small subunit ribosomal RNA
Source: RNAcentral